Small nuclear RNA from Pygocentrus nattereri (red-bellied piranha), 192 nucleotides. Its record names the gene U2. It matches the Rfam family "U2 spliceosomal RNA". Rfam says of the family: U2 is a small nuclear RNA (snRNA) component of the spliceosome (involved in pre-mRNA splicing). Complementary binding between U2 snRNA (in an area lying towards the 5' end but 3' to hairpin I) and the branchpoint sequence (BPS) of the intron results the bulging out of an unpaired adenosine, on the BPS, which initiates a nucleophilic attack at the intronic 5' splice site, thus starting the first of two transesterification reactions that mediate splicing. The record is from Ensembl. NCBI's taxonomy places the organism in Eukaryota, Metazoa, Chordata, Actinopteri, Characiformes, Serrasalmidae.
AUCUUGGUGUGUAUUAUACAGUACAGAUACAGUGUAGUAUCUGUUCUUAUCAGUUUAAUGUCUGAUACGUCCUCUGUACGAGGACUACAUAUUAAAUUGAUUUUUAGAACAGGGAGUUGGAAGAGGAGUUUGCUCCGUCCACUCCACGCAUCAACCUGGUAUUGCAGUACCUCCUGGAUUUUUUGGCCAGUC